GACGGAGGGUGCAAGCGUUGUUCGGAAUUACUGGGCGUAAAGCGCGUGUAGGCGGUCCGAUAAGUCGAGUGUGAAAGCCCGAGGCCCAACCUCGGAAGUGCAUUCGAAACUGUCGGGCUUGAGUACGGGAGAGGGAAGUGGAAUUCCUGGUGUAGAGGUGAAAUUCGUAGAUAUCAGGAGGAACACCGGUGGCGAAGGCGGCUUCCUGGACCGAUACUGACGCUGAGAAGCGAAAGCGUGGGGAGCAAACAGG
RNAcentral lists this ribosomal RNA (253 nucleotides) under uncultured bacterium. RNAcentral's name for it is "partial 16S ribosomal RNA". It matches the Rfam family "Bacterial small subunit ribosomal RNA", at positions 524 to 776 of the family's 1533-position model. The record is from RNAcentral.